CUACGUAGGGGGCGAGCGUUGUCCGGAAUUACUGGGCGUAAAGGGUGCGUAGGCGGCGCGACAAGUCAGAUGUGAAAUACCUGUGCUUAACAUGGGACCUGCAUUUGAAACUGUUGUGCUUGAGUAUGGAAGAGGCAAGCGGAAUUCCCGGUGUAGCGGUGAAAUGCGUAGAGAUCGGGAGGAACACCAGUGGCGAAGGCGGCUUGCUGGGCCAUAACUGACGCUGAAGCACGAAAGCGUGGGUAGCAAACAGGAUUAGAUACCCUGGUAGUCCACGCUGUAAACGAUGAAUACUAAGUGUAGGGGGUAACACCCCCCCUGUGCCGUAGCAAACGCAAUAAGUAUUCCGCCUGGGGAGUACGAUCGCAAGAUUGAA
RNAcentral lists this ribosomal RNA (376 nucleotides) under uncultured bacterium. RNAcentral describes it as "bacterial SSU rRNA". It matches the Rfam family "Bacterial small subunit ribosomal RNA", at positions 523 to 898 of the family's 1533-position model. The record is from RNAcentral.